AUACAAUAUUGUUAUUACUACUAAAAGUGGCUCUGUGUCUACAAACUCGCAACCUUUUGGCUCUAAUCCCCAUUACCAGCUACAAUACCACUUUUCAUUGAUAUCAAGUGCUUUUUUCUUUCAUUUCCUUUCUUCCUUUCUCUUCAUGUUGCAAAACCCCUCAGCCUUAUACACAACUCAUUCCAACCUUGCGUAGCCUCUCUGUAAAUGUUAGUUCUCCUAUCUCCUGCUUACUUCACUUUUGUAUCUUCCUUUUUUGCGUGCAUGUGGAUCUGUGGGCACCUUCUCUUAGUACUUGCAAACCCCAAAGUUAAAUAGAUUCCAAUCUAGAUAGAAAGAGAGGACUGGAGCUAUCUGCAAAAGAUCUGUUUUUUAAUUAGUUGUAUAUCUAGUGAUGUAAAAAGAAGAGGUGAGUAGGAGACCCACACCAUCCAACUCUUGGAGUAGUGAUAUGUUGGUAUAUGGAAGGUGACUUGGUUAUAUUCCCUCCCUUUUCUGCUUUCCAGCCAAUAUAAAUUUGUGGGGAACGUGGGGCCUGAUUUCUAAGUUAACUGGACAAGAGCUAACAGCUCCAAUGCCUGCACAUUUCAUUAAGCUCUUACUUCAUGAUUAAUUUAAAGAUUUCCCAGUGCUACUUUUUCUUUGGUGCUCAGUCUUCUACUUCUGUCAUCUGAGUUCAUUGGCUUCAUAGCCUAAAACGAUUGGUUAGUCAUUUGAAGGGUAGUAAGUUAAUGAAAGUUAGCCAUCUUUUUUCACUCAUAGGAAUAUAUUCUUUUUCUGUUUUUAUGCCCCCCUUACGUCCAUACUUUCUGUACCUAAAGUCUGAUUCCUUAUCCAUUCCAUAGCAAGAUCUUCUGGCAUUUUGCUGUAUCAUUCUCCUUCUUCUACCUUUUACUUUAAACAGUCCAUUAAACAUCUCAAGUUGAAAAACUUCUAGCUGGCAUAAAUAGGAAUGGGGAAAUGCAGUAAAAAAACAACGUAUGCAUACAGAUCAGACAUGGUUUCCAAGUUGGAGUCCAGCUGGAGCUUUCCAGUCUUCCCUGUGGUACUCUUUUACAGUAAUAAUUUACUACAAAGUAGAGGGUAUUCCACUAUUGCUCCUCACUCACAUGGACCACCGUCCUUUCUGUUCCCAAUCGCCCCCCACCAACUGAAAAAUGGGGGGUGUUAUAGUGUUUACAAACAAGCAUCUCUCACAACAACAGUAGCCUAGGUAACUACUCUUCAUUUGGUGUAGUAUUCCCCCCACAUGGUAAAGCUACUUUUCCCCCAUGUGCUACCCACUGAAAUCCUUUGGUUUUCAUUUUCCUGACCAAAGAGUAGAUUGUUAAUCUGUAGAACAAACACAAUGUGGGCUGAUCACAGGAACUAGCGGAGCACUCUGAGGUUCAAAGUAGUGGUCUUUGUUUUUUAGCACACUUGGUAACAAAAUCUAGUGACUUAGGGUCCAAUGUUUGAUAUGCAUUUUGCUUAAGGUUACAUUUGACACGUUAUUUCCGGUGUAAAUAAAAGCUGAUUUGAGAUUGUUGUUGUUGGUCUGCGUAGCUUCAUUAUGGGCAUAUUUGAAUGUCUAUUAUCACUAAGAAAUGGAUUUAUUUGGGCAGUAACACAGGGGAGAGAACAAUGAACCCGGGAUUCAGCGGAGGUGGGGCCGGAACAACCUACACGGGAUCCACCGGCAGCGGCGGGGACGGAGAUGGAGAUGUGUUCGGGAUGAUAUUCGGGAGCGGGACGGCGCCACCCACCACCGCUCCAUGUUUGAUUAAUAAUUUGUUGGUUUUGUCUCUUUCAAUUAUUAUUUGGAUAGGUUUGUACACUAGUACCAACUCAAUAUUCUUCUUCCCCUUAUCAUCUUCAUUAUCACUAUACUAGGGAUUUGAAAAUUCGGAAGAAAUAGACAAAAUUUGUUGAGGAAAAAGAAGAAAUUUCACGAUGCUCAAGUUGUACAUAAUAAAUUACAAUGGAAAAGGUCGAAAUGUAAAAAAAAAAAGAAAAUUUAGGAAAUUUAUAUUUCCAUGCUUGAUUCUGGUUUUACAUGGAGUGAAAUGGAAAGGUGGAAAAGUGAUAUUCUGGGCGUACAACUUGCCACACACUCAGUCUUGUGGAAUUAUAGCAUAUAAUUAGGCAGUGUUAGGCGUAGGAUUAGACUAGUUAGCUAUCCUAAAUGAUUUUAUUUAGUUUAUAUAUCUAGCCUAAUUAACAGCAGAAUAAUUAUAGUA
Molecule: long non-coding RNA, 2219 nt
Filed under: Linum usitatissimum (flax)
Lineage: Eukaryota; Viridiplantae; Streptophyta; Magnoliopsida; Malpighiales; Linaceae
Description: long non-coding RNA (LUSI_LNC005731)
Source: RNAcentral